AUGACACCAUUACAUACCAUACUCUUUCUUAGUUCAGUUAUGACUGACAGGUGUCACAACAGUUAUAAUCAUAUAUGAAUGAAUUAUGAUAAUCAAAAUAUAAAAUUAAUAACAAUUUAUAUUUAAAAUUACGAAAAAAUUUUUCAUAUCAGGAUAAGAAAUUCAUUAUUACAGAAAUAUUUUCAACAUAUCCAUGACAUUUUUGUCAAAUGGCUGAUGCACAUGAACCCAGAAAACUUCAGAAUUAUCCAUCCAAUCCAAAAACUAUUACAGAAUUAUCUAUGCAGUCCAUCAAAAACAUUCAUAUCCUUAGUCAGUCCAAAGGUAACAAUAUUAUUAACAAGUGUGACCCUAGCAGUCUAUCAAGCAUCUGGUUGUGGUGCAUUGGUUGAUAUAUUUUAUCUGGUACCAAAUACCUGUUGAAUAUGCUGAAUCAAACUUUCACAUACUUAGCAUUUCAUAUAUGUGUAUUUUUUUUAUUUAUUUAUCUUAAUUGUAUUAGUAAUAUGCAUUUUAUUAUUGUCAUUAUUAUUUUUAAUUUUACUGUAAUUUUAUUUUUUACUUAUCUAUCUAUUUUUCAUAACAUAUAAUAAUUCUUUUUUUUAUAUUAUAAACCUAAC
Molecule: long non-coding RNA, 620 nt
Filed under: Androctonus crassicauda
Lineage: Eukaryota; Metazoa; Arthropoda; Arachnida; Scorpiones; Buthidae
Source: RNAcentral